AGAACGAACGCUGGCGGCAGGCUUAACACAUGCAAGUCGAACGCCCCGCAAGGGGAGUGGCAGACGGGUGAGUAACGCGUGGGAAUCUACCCAGUUCUACGGAAUAACACAGGGAAACUUGUGCUAAUACCGUAUACGCCCUACGGGGGAAGAUUUAUCGGGAUUGGAUGAGCCCGCGUUGGAUUAGCUAGUUGGUGGGGUAAUGGCCUACCAAGGCGACGAUCCAUAGCUGGUCUGAGAGGAUGAUCAGCCACACUGGGACUGAGACACGGCCCAGACUCCUACGGGAGGCAGCAGUGGGGAAUAUUGGACAAUGGGCGAAAGCCUGAUCCAGCCAUGCCGCGUGAGUGAUGAAGGCCUUAGGGUUGUAAAGCUCUUUCAGUGGGAAGAUAAUGACGGUACCACAGAAGAAGCCCGGCUAACUUCGUGCCAGCAGCCGC
Molecule: ribosomal RNA, 440 nt
Filed under: uncultured bacterium
Lineage: Bacteria
Description: SSU rRNA
Rfam family: Bacterial small subunit ribosomal RNA
Source: RNAcentral